UGCCCGGGUGGCGGAACUGGUAGACGCAGCGGACUUAAAAUCCGCAGAUCCGCAAGGGUCGUGCCGGUUCGACUCCGGCCCUGGGCAG
RNAcentral lists this transfer RNA (88 nucleotides) under Gammaproteobacteria bacterium. RNAcentral describes it as "tRNA-Leu". It matches the Rfam family "tRNA". Rfam says of the family: Transfer RNA (tRNA) molecules are approximately 80 nucleotides in length. Lineage: Bacteria; Pseudomonadati; Pseudomonadota; Gammaproteobacteria. The record is from RNAcentral.